GGGUUUUGGGUUUAGGUUGCUUGUCUCAUACUGGUGCUGGAAAUGUGGUAUAACUAGUGAGAUUACGCGGAAAGGAAUUAGCAUCCCAGAAAGUGAAGCUGCAAAGGUAAAAGUGAAGCCACUGAGAGUGAUAAGCCAAUAAAAUAUUGUUCGAGUCCAAACAAAGAUUCCCACUACGAACGACUUUCUUUGUUUGGUCUGCGUUCUCAGCCUCAGGUCUUAUCCAUAAAAUCAUCAUCUCUCUGCGACUUCGGUGUUUGGUGUGUCAGCUGAUUCUUGCAAGGUGUUUUAUCAAGCUGAUUCUUGCAAAUCUUAUCCCCUCAAUUGGGCACUCUCAAAUUUCGAUCUUGCAUUGAGGAUUUUUGUUUUGGAUAGAAAAAAAAAGUGAAAAUCUUCAUUUGUGCAGUAACUAUGAGCAGCUGAAUCUUAGUCAACACCGAGAUAUGGAGGUUGUUUUAGAGAAAAAAGACGCUGCUGAUUGGGUUUACAGAGGCGAAGGCGCUGCCAAUCUUGUUCUCGGUUACAGCGGAUCCGCCCCCGCUUUUAUUGGGAAAGUAAUGCGUCUACAGAAAGCUCCGAUUAAUGGGUCAAAGUCCAUGAACAGUCCCACUGCAUUAACCAUGCAUGAACGUCUUCUGUGGAAGGACACGGAGGACAUUGUAGCUACCUCUAACAAAGAACUUGCUUGCCAACUGUUUGUGAAGCACAUCAUGAGCCCUCUAUUGGGUUCCACGCACGUUGAUUCUGGGAUACGUGUCCCUGCUUCCAAAGAAUUCUUGGAGUCGGUUGUGAAGAACAUAAUUUGUCAGCGUCCUGCUUCUCGAGUUGACGCUGCCAAAGUUGACACACAAUGUGAUUCUGUGCUUCUCAUGUCUGAUCAUUCUCUUUUUCCUCGUGGUACUCAAGAAGUUGAACCCUGUAUAUCUGUGGAGAUAAAGCCAAAAUGUGGAUUUCUGCCAUCUUCAAAGUUCAUUGAUGAAGGAAAUGCCAUUAAACGGAGCAUUACUCGUUUUCGGAUGCACCAAGCUCUGAAGUUGCAUCAAGGAGAGGUAUCAGAAUAUAGUGAAUAUAAUCCACUUGAUCUGUUCUCUGGAUCCAAGGAAAGAAUACAUAAAGCUAUCAGGGAUCUCUUCUCAACCCCGCAGAAUAACUUCCGUGUAUUCUUGAAUGGUUCUCAAAUAUUUGGGGGCUUAGGCGGUGGUGCAGACAGUACUGAUUUUGUGACUCGGGGAAAAUUUGAAGAUGCACUCAAGUGUGUUAUUCAGGGAGGUGAUGGCUUGCGCACAAUGAGUUUUUUACUGCUUGUUGCUGAGACAGUUCAUAAAUCUGGAGUGUUGGAUCGGCUCCUUGAGGUCCAGAAACUUGAUAAUCUUGACAUUGAUGGGGCUAUCCAUGCGUAUUAUGACAUUGUUUCGGAGCCUUGCAGGGUAUGUAGAGCAUCCGGUAAAGAAAAAAUGUCACAGAGAUAUCUUUCAUUGCAUUCCAUCUCUUUGGAUGAAAGCUUGAAGAUUGUGAAGGAUUUUUUGAUAGCUGCUACUGCAAAGGACUGCAGUUUGAUGAUUAGUUUUAGACCAAGGAAAGAUGGGAAUCCAGGAUCUCCAUAUAAUAAUUUGUAUCUAGAUUCAACCAACCAAUUUUUUGAUUACAAGGUGAAUUUCAUUGACCUGGAUUUGAAACAGUUGAAGAAAAUGGAAGAAUAUUAUGAGUUGGACAAAAAAAUAGUAAGCUACUACAAUCAAAUGGUGGAAACUGAGGAAAGACAAAAGAAAAAUACAAGCACAAUGGCUCUUAAAACUGCAAAUUGAGAUUUAUUGCUGUGCCAUGGAAGAUACUUUACUUCAAAUUAUGAGUGUUAAGACUAAUAUGGAAGGUUCUGUGAACUCUGGUUGUUCGGCUUUGAUAUUUUCAUCAGCAUAUAUGUGGAAUAUAAAGGCCGUGGGUUGGCUACAUCAUGUGCUGAACAAUGAGCUCCUGAGCUGUCUAUAGUAAACUAUAGUGUCAGUGGACCUGCUAUGUUCCAAGUGCAGGAAGAAGUUGAUGAAGUUAAUAGCAACUGUAGAAGGGAUAACUUCAAUUGUCCUCGACCCAUCAAAAAAUAUAGUGACAGUAACUGGGGAUGCCGAUCCAGUAAAGGUUAUCAAGAAGGUGAGAAAAUUCAGAAAAUCUGCUUCAGUUGUGAGUAUAGGUCCUCCACCUCCGCAGAGUGAGAAGAAGGAUGAGAAGAAAGACCUUGUUCCUUUUAACUCCAAAGACAUGUCAGAGAUGGUACGAUGUCUGGUAUGCGGUUGUUAAAGAUGGUUACAAUUAUUGUUCCAUAAUGUAUCAUCCUGAAACUUGUAUGAAUAAUACCCAGUUGUAUUU
This is a non-coding RNA of Prunus mume (Japanese apricot), 2361 nucleotides long. NCBI's taxonomy places the organism in Eukaryota, Viridiplantae, Streptophyta, Magnoliopsida, Rosales, Rosaceae. The record is from RefSeq and is a predicted model, not a curated record.